UACAGAGGGUGCAAGCGUUAAUCGGAAUUAUUGGGCGUAAAGCGCACGUAGGUGGAUGAAUAAGUUGGAUGUGAAAGCCCCGGGCUUAACCUGGGAAUUGCAUUCAAGACUGUUCGUCUAGAGUAUGGGAGAGGGAAGUGGAAUUUCUGGUGUAGCGGUGAAAUGCGUAGAUAUCAGAAGGAACAUCAGUGGCGAAGGCGACUUCCUGGCCUAAUACUGACACUGAGGUGCGAAAGCGUGGGGAGCAAACAGG
This 253-nucleotide ribosomal RNA is filed under the name uncultured bacterium. Its description in RNAcentral is "partial 16S ribosomal RNA". It matches the Rfam family "Bacterial small subunit ribosomal RNA", at positions 524 to 776 of the family's 1533-position model. The record is from RNAcentral.